RNAcentral lists this ribosomal RNA (497 nucleotides) under uncultured bacterium. RNAcentral's name for it is "partial 16S ribosomal RNA". It matches the Rfam family "Bacterial small subunit ribosomal RNA", at positions 28 to 507 of the family's 1533-position model. The record is from RNAcentral.
GAUGAACGCUGGCGGCGUGCCUAAUACAUGCAAGUCGAGCGCACGGACGUGAUGCUUGUUUCUCUGAUGUUAGCGGCGGACGGGUGAGUAACACGUGGAUAACCUACCUAUAAGACUGGGAUAACUUCUGGAAACCGGUGCUAAUACCGCAUAAUAUUUUGAACCACAUGGUUCAAAAUUGAAAGACGGUCUUGCUGUCCCUUAUAGAUGGAUCCGCUCUGCAUUAGCUAGUUGGUAAGGUAACGGCUUACAAAGGCAACGAUGCAUAGCCGACCUGAGAGGGUGAUCGCCACCACUGGAACGAGGAAACGCUCAAGACUCCUACGGGAGGCAGAAGAAGGGAAUCUUGGGCAAUGAGGGAAGGCCUGACGGAGCAACGCGGGGUGAGUGAUGAAGGUCUUCGGAUCGUAAAACUCUGUUAUUAGGGAGAAACAUAUGUGUAAUGAACUGUGCACAAAGUGACGGUAACUAAUCAGAAAGCCACGGCUAACUACGUG